AUUGAACGCUGGCGGCAGGCCUAACACAUGCAAGUCGAACGGUAACAGGAAGCAGCUUGCUGCUUCGCUGACGAGUGGCGGACGGGUGAGUAAUGUCUGGGAAGCUGCCUGAUGGAGGGGGAUAACUACUGGAAACGGUAGCUAAUACCGCAUAAUGUCGCAAGACCAAAGAGGGGGACCUUCGGGCCUCUUGCCAUCGGAUGUGCCCAGAUGGGAUUAGCUUGUUGGUGGGGUAACGGCUCACCAAGGCGACGAUCCCUAGCUGGUCUGAGAGGAUGACCCCCCACAUGGAGAAGAAGACAGCGUCCAGCCCACAACGGGAGGAAGAAGGGGGAAUUUUUGAACAAGGGGCGAAAGCUUGAUGCAGCCAUGCGGGGUGUAGAAAGAAGGCCUUGUGUUUUUAAAGUUCUUUCGGGGGGGAGGAAGGGAGUAAAUUAAAUACCUUGUCUAUUUGACUUGCCCCGAAGAAGAAGCCCCGGCAAACCCGGGA
This 490-nucleotide ribosomal RNA is filed under the name uncultured bacterium. Its description in RNAcentral is "partial 16S ribosomal RNA". It matches the Rfam family "Bacterial small subunit ribosomal RNA", at positions 30 to 507 of the family's 1533-position model. The record is from RNAcentral.